CCCUUAGAUGUUCUGGGCCGCACGCGUGCUACACUGAGUGGAUCAGCGGGUCAGGUUGCGCGAAAGCGUUUCCUAAUCUUUAAAUCCGCUCGUGAUGGGGAUUGACGGUUGCAAUUUUCUGUCAUGAACGAGGAAUACCUUGUAAGCGCGGGUCAUCAUCCCGCGCUGAAUACGUCCCUGCCCUUUGUACACACCGCCCGUCGCUCCUACCGAUUCAGUGGUCCGGUGAGGCUUUGGGAUCUGAGCGGAAAGAGCGUUUCGCUGUUUCUGCUCGGAAAACUCAGUCGAACCUUAUCAUUUAGAGGAAGGAGAAGUCGUAACA
RNAcentral lists this ribosomal RNA (322 nucleotides) under uncultured eukaryote. RNAcentral describes it as "partial 18S ribosomal RNA". It matches the Rfam family "Eukaryotic small subunit ribosomal RNA", at positions 1470 to 1796 of the family's 1831-position model. The record is from RNAcentral.